Ictidomys tridecemlineatus (thirteen-lined ground squirrel) is the source of this 255-nucleotide non-coding RNA. The record is from RefSeq and is a predicted model, not a curated record. NCBI's taxonomy places the organism in Eukaryota, Metazoa, Chordata, Mammalia, Rodentia, Sciuridae.
AGGAAGCCUAUAAAGAGGUGGAGGACCUGAAGGAAGUAGAGAAAAAGAAAAAGAGAACAUCCUGAUGACAAUUUAACCCUGGAACUCCCCCCUACUUCAAGGAAACUUCAUUCUUUUGACUUCCAAGGAAAUGUUUAUGAGAAGUUGAAGAAGAUAAUGGCAUUUCUAGAAGUCAAGAUUUGGAAAGUUGCCUACUAAGCAUCUAUGCUAACCUUAAGGACCUCUCUUGCUCUCAGACAUGCUGCUUGUGAUUUU